This 1481-nucleotide ribosomal RNA is filed under the name Lactobacillus sp. B5407. RNAcentral's name for it is "bacterial SSU rRNA". It matches the Rfam family "Bacterial small subunit ribosomal RNA". The record is from RNAcentral. Lineage: Bacteria; Bacillati; Bacillota; Bacilli; Lactobacillales; Lactobacillaceae.
CUGGCGGCGUGCCUAAUACAUGCAAGUCGAACGAACUCUGGUAUUGAUUGGUGCUUGCAUCAUGAUUUACAUUUGAGUGAGUGGCGAACUGGUGAGUAACACGUGGGAAACCUGCCCAGAAGCGGGGGAUAACACCUGGAAACAGAUGCUAAUACCGCAUAACAACUUGGACCGCAUGGUCCGAGUUUGAAAGAUGGCUUCGGCUAUCACUUUUGGAUGGUCCCGCGGCGUAUUAGCUAGAUGGUGGGGUAACGGCUCACCAUGGCAAUGAUACGUAGCCGACCUGAGAGGGUAAUCGGCCACAUUGGGACUGAGACACGGCCCAAACUCCUACGGGAGGCAGCAGUAGGGAAUCUUCCACAAUGGACGAAAGUCUGAUGGAGCAACGCCGCGUGAGUGAAGAAGGGUUUCGGCUCGUAAAACUCUGUUGUUAAAGAAGAACAUAUCUGAGAGUAACUGUUCAGGUAUUGACGGUAUUUAACCAGAAAGCCACGGCUAACUACGUGCCAGCAGCCGCGGUAAUACGUAGGUGGCAAGCGUUGUCCGGAUUUAUUGGGCGUAAAGCGAGCGCAGGCGGUUUUUUAAGUCUGAUGUGAAAGCCUUCGGCUCAACCGAAGAAGUGCAUCGGAAACUGGGAAACUUGAGUGCAGAAGAGGACAGUGGAACUCCAUGUGUAGCGGUGAAAUGCGUAGAUAUAUGGAAGAACACCAGUGGCGAAGGCGGCUGUCUGGUCUGUAACUGACGCUGAGGCUCGAAAGUAUGGGUAGCAAACAGGAUUAGAUACCCUGGUAGUCCAUACCGUAAACGAUGAAUGCUAAGUGUUGGAGGGUUUCCGCCCUUCAGUGCUGCAGCUAACGCAUUAAGCAUUCCGCCUGGGGAGUACGGCCGCAAGGCUGAAACUCAAAGGAAUUGACGGGGGCCCGCACAAGCGGUGGAGCAUGUGGUUUAAUUCGAAGCUACGCGAAGAACCUUACCAGGUCUUGACAUACUAUGCAAAUCUAAGAGAUUAGACGUUCCCUUCGGGGACAUGGAUACAGGUGGUGCAUGGUUGUCGUCAGCUCGUGUCGUGAGAUGUUGGGUUAAGUCCCGCAACGAGCGCAACCCUUAUUAUCAGUUGCCAGCAUUAAGUUGGGCACUCUGGUGAGACUGCCGGUGACAAACCGGAGGAAGGUGGGGAUGACGUCAAAUCAUCAUGCCCCUUAUGACCUGGGCUACACACGUGCUACAAUGGAUGGUACAACGAGUUGCGAACUCGCGAGAGUAAGCUAAUCUCUUAAAGCCAUUCUCAGUUCGGAUUGUAGGCUGCAACUCGCCUACAUGAAGUCGGAAUCGCUAGUAAUCGCGGAUCAGCAUGCCGCGGUGAAUACGUUCCCGGGCCUUGUACACACCGCCCGUCACACCAUGAGAGUUUGUAACACCCAAAGUCGGUGGGGUAACCUUUUAGGAACCAGCCGCCUAAGGUGGGACAGAUGAUUAGGGUG